RNAcentral lists this ribosomal RNA (433 nucleotides) under uncultured bacterium. RNAcentral's name for it is "partial 16S ribosomal RNA". It matches the Rfam family "Bacterial small subunit ribosomal RNA", at positions 29 to 507 of the family's 1533-position model. The record is from RNAcentral.
AACGAACGCUGGCGGCAUGCCUAACACAUGCAAGUCGAACGAGACCUUCGGGUCUAGUUGCGCACGGGUGCGUAACGCGUGGGAACCUGCCCUUAGGUUCGGAAUAACUCCCCGAAAGGGGUGCUAAUCCCAGAUAAUGUCUUCGGACCAAAGAUUUAUCGCCUUUGGUUGGGCCCGCGUUGGAUUAGCUAGUUGGUAGGGUAAAAGCCUACCAAGGCGACGAUCCAUAGCUGGUCUGAGAGGAUGAUCAGCCACACUGGGACUGAGACACGGCCCAGACUCCUACGGGAGGCAGCAGUGGGGAAUAUUGGAAAAGGGGCGAAAGCCUGAUCCAGCAAUGCCGCGUGAGUGAUGAAGGCCUUAGGGUUGUAAAGCUCUUUUAACCGGGAUGAUAAUGACAGUACCGGGAGAAUAAGCUCCGGCUAACUCCGUG